UACGGAGGGUGCAAGCGUUAUCCGGAUUCACUGGGUUUAAAGGGUGUGUAGGCGGGCAUUUAAGUCAGUGGUGAAAUCCCCGGGCUCAACCUGGGAACUGCCAUUGAUACUAUUUGUCUUGAAUUCUGUUGAGGUGGGCGGAAUACAUCAUGUAGCGGUGAAAUGCUUAGAUAUGAUGUAGAACACCGAUUGCGAAGGCAGCUCACUAAGCAGCGAUUGACGCUGAGGCA
RNAcentral lists this ribosomal RNA (230 nucleotides) under uncultured microorganism. RNAcentral's name for it is "partial 16S ribosomal RNA". It matches the Rfam family "Bacterial small subunit ribosomal RNA", at positions 524 to 753 of the family's 1533-position model. The record is from RNAcentral.